AAGUCGUAACAAGGUUUCCGUAGGUGAACCUGCGGAAGGAUCAUUAACGAGUUCUGAAAUGGGUUGUAGCUGGCUUCUCAUUCGUUUGGGAGGCAACGUGCUCGCCUUGCUCAAUCCACUCUACACCUGUGAACUAACUGUGGGUCUCGGUGGGUUAAGCUUUCGUCCCGGAAGGGUCGUCCGCUUCAAAACCUGGCCUACGUUUUCUUACAAACUCUUUUAAAAGUAAUGAGAAUGUGCAUUGCGAUAUUAUAACGCAUUUAUAUACAACUUUCAGCAACGGAUCUCUUGGCUCUC
This 297-nucleotide unclassified non-coding RNA is filed under the name air metagenome. RNAcentral's name for it is "partial contains small subunit ribosomal RNA, internal transcribed spacer 1, and 5.8S ribosomal RNA". The stretch from base 1 to 46 matches the Rfam family "Eukaryotic small subunit ribosomal RNA", at positions 1786 to 1831 of the family's 1831-position model. The record is from RNAcentral.